This 460-nucleotide ribosomal RNA is filed under the name uncultured bacterium. RNAcentral's name for it is "partial 16S ribosomal RNA". It matches the Rfam family "Bacterial small subunit ribosomal RNA", at positions 338 to 795 of the family's 1533-position model. The record is from RNAcentral.
CCUACGGGAGGCAGCAGUGAGGAAUAUUGGUCAAUGGGCGGAAGCCUGAACCAGCCAAGUAGCGUGCAGGAUGACGGCCCUACGGGUUGUAAACUGCUUUUAUACGGGAAUAACGCGCCUUACGUGUAGGGCUUUUCAUGUACCGUAUGAAUAAGGACCGGCUAAUUCCGUGCCAGCAGCCGCGGGAAUACGGAAGGUACGGGCGUUAUCCGGAUUUUAUGGGGUUAAAAGGAGCGUAGGGCGAAUGGCAAGCGUGCUGGGAAAUGUGCGGGCUCAACCCGGGGCUUGCCGCGCGAACUGGCGUGCUUGAGUCCGCGGAAAGCAGGCGGAAUGCGUGGUGUAGCGGUGAAAUGCUUAGAUAUGACGCAGAACCCCGAUUGCGAAGGCAGCUUGCUGGAGCGGAACUGACGCUGAUGCUCGAAAGCGCGGGUAUCGAACAGGAUUAGAUACCCUAGUAGUC